AUGAGAUGCACACACACACUCACUCAGAUGCAGACACACACCACACACUUGUACUCAGUCUCACACACCACACCACACACUCACAGAUACACACUCACUCACACAGGACACACACCACACCACACACUCACUCACACUCAGAUGCAGACACACACCACACCUCACACAGAUGCACACACACAGAUGCAGACACGCACCACACCUCACACUCACAGAUGCACACACACUCAGAUGCAGACACACACCACACCUCACACUCACAGAUGCACACACUCAGAUGCAGACACACACCACACAGUUGUACUCAGUCUCAGACACACACCACACACAUUCACAGAUGCACACACACUCACACUUAGAUGCAGACACACCACACCACACACUCACACAGGACACACACCACACCACGCACUCACACAGGACACACUCACACUCAGAUGCAGACACACACCAAACCACACACUCACAGAUGCACACACGCUCACACUUAGAUGCAGACACACACCACACCACACGCUCACUCACACAGGACACACACACAGAUGCAGACACACACCACACCACAUGCUCACUCACACAGGACACACACACAAAUGCAGACACACACCACACCACACACUCACUCAUGCAGGACACACACACAGAUGCAGACACACACCACACCACACACUCACUCACGCAGGACACACACCACACCACACACUCACACAGGACACACACCACACCACACACUCACUCACACUCAGAUGCAGACACACACCACACCUCACACAGAUGCACACACACAGAUGCAGACACGCACCACACCUCACACUCACAGAUGCACACACUCAGAUGCAGACACACACCACACCUCACACUCACAGAUGCACACACUCAGAUGCAGACACACACCACACAGUUGUACUCAGUCUCAGACACACACCACACACAUUCACAGAUGCACACACACUCACACUUAGAUGCAGACACACCACACCACACACUCACACAGGACACACACCACACCACGCACUCACACAGGACACACUCACACUCAGAUGCAGACACACACCAAACCACACACUCACAGAUGCACACACGCUCACACUUAGAUGCAGACACACACCACACCACACGCUCACUCACACAGGACACACACACAGAUGCAGACACACACCACACCACACACUCACGCAGGACACACACUCACUUGCACACUCACACCACCCACUCAAGGGCCCGCUGCGGGUGGCAGAGGACAGAUGUGCUGCCGUGGGAGGUGUGGGCCAUAAAAGGUGGUGCAGGCACAGCUGGCAGGAGCUGUGA
RNAcentral lists this long non-coding RNA (1308 nucleotides) under Callithrix jacchus (white-tufted-ear marmoset). RNAcentral's name for it is "lncRNA (ENSCJAG00000086872.1)". Lineage: Eukaryota; Metazoa; Chordata; Mammalia; Primates; Cebidae. The record is from RNAcentral.